RNAcentral lists this ribosomal RNA (253 nucleotides) under uncultured bacterium. Its description in RNAcentral is "partial 16S ribosomal RNA". It matches the Rfam family "Bacterial small subunit ribosomal RNA", at positions 524 to 776 of the family's 1533-position model. The record is from RNAcentral.
UACGGAGGGGGCUAGCGUUGUUCGGAAUUACUGGGCGUAAAGCGCACGUAGGCGGCUUUGUAAGUUAGAGGUGAAAGCCCGGGGCUCAACUCCGGAACUGCCUUUAAGACUGCAUCGCUUGAAUUGUGGAGAGGUAAGUGGAAUUCCGAGUGUAGAGGUGAAAUUCGUAGAUAUUCGGAAGAACACCAGUGGCGAAGGCGACUUACUGGUCCAGCACCGACGUUCAGGCACGAAAGCGUGGGGAGCAAACAGG